Molecule: non-coding RNA, 723 nt
Filed under: Prosthogonimus cuneatus
Lineage: Eukaryota; Metazoa; Platyhelminthes; Trematoda; Plagiorchiida; Prosthogonimidae
Source: RNAcentral
GAUCAAUUUAACUCUGGUUGUAAAAGAUUUAAAAACUCUUACUUCAUAGGUAUUUUAUUUUUUGUGGUUUAUGCAGUUUUGUGUGUGUCUUAGUGGUUAGUUCUCGUUUUUAAGGGGAACCUUGAUCGGGGGGUUUUGUUUUAAUAUAGUGGAUAACUCACAGUGCCAGCAUCUGCGGUUAUUCUGUUGGCUAUUUUCUUUGGUUGUUGGUUUAAGUUGUUUGCAGGAUAUAUUUAAUAUUAGGUAAAAUUUUUAUUAUUGUGUUAAUUCUCCUGUAGGAUUUUUAAUAAGUCUGUAAAAGAAGGGGAUUAGAUACCCCCUUAUUGGAUUUGGUAAUUUUUUACCAUGGUAUAAACUAAAAGAGUUUGGCAGCUGAAGAUUCUAUCCGGGGGAGUGUGUGUCUGAAAAGAUGUUCCACUGAAGAUUUUACCACUCUUAGAUUAGUUGGUGUACAUCCGAUUUAAGAUUUAUAGUUAGAGCUAUAUGGUGUUGUCAUAAACUUAAGUCAGGUCAAUGUGCUGCUAACAGGGUGGUUGAUGUGCACUACAAUUUGUAAAAAACUUUGUUGAAAUAAAAAGUUUUAUUAAGGACUCGGAAGUAGGUGAUAAAUAGUUUGUUUCAUCGAAAUUGGUUUAUUCGGGGUACACACCGCCCGUCAUUCACGGCGAGAGUUGUGAGAAGUCGUAACAUGGUAGCGUUAUGGGAACUUGACGCUAGUAAAUA